RNAcentral lists this unclassified non-coding RNA (213 nucleotides) under Epilobium nevadense. Its description in RNAcentral is "partial miscellaneous RNA". The record is from RNAcentral. Lineage: Eukaryota; Viridiplantae; Streptophyta; Magnoliopsida; Myrtales; Onagraceae.
AUCUAUUCGUCASCCAACCKCCGCUCCCCGARAGGGUGCUUUGGUCCCGGGUACGGAAGUUGGCCUCCCGUGCUCUCGAAGCGCGGCUGGCCUAAAACUGAGCAUCGGACUGAUGAUCUCCGAGGCACGCGGUGGUUGUUCAUUCUUUACCYCGUGACGUUGCCAAGGAGCGUCUCCCGUGCGAAGCUCCACGRCCCUAGAUUAUCUAUCGAU